This 253-nucleotide ribosomal RNA is filed under the name uncultured bacterium. RNAcentral's name for it is "partial 16S ribosomal RNA". It matches the Rfam family "Bacterial small subunit ribosomal RNA", at positions 524 to 776 of the family's 1533-position model. The record is from RNAcentral.
UACGUAGGGUGCGAGCGUUAAUCGGAAUUACUGGGCGUAAAGCGUGCGCAGGCGGUUUGCUAAGACCGAUGUGAAAUCCCCGGGCUUAACCUGGGAACUGCAUUGGUGACUGGCAGGCUAGAGUAUGGCAGAGGGGGGUAGAAUUCCACGUGUAGCAGUGAAAUGCGUAGAGAUCGGAAAGAACACCAACGGCGAAAGCACUCUGCUGGGCCGACACUGACACUGAGAGACGAAAGCUAGGGGAGCGAAUGGG